CAGAGAAUAGUUUAAUUAAAAUAUCAGUUUUGGGGAUUGAUGAUAGGGGGUAACUCUUUUCUCUGA
Molecule: transfer RNA, 66 nt
Filed under: Amphinemura longispina
Lineage: Eukaryota; Metazoa; Arthropoda; Insecta; Plecoptera; Nemouridae
Description: tRNA-Pro
Source: RNAcentral